This 406-nucleotide ribosomal RNA is filed under the name uncultured bacterium. Its description in RNAcentral is "bacterial SSU rRNA". It matches the Rfam family "Bacterial small subunit ribosomal RNA", at positions 28 to 435 of the family's 1533-position model. The record is from RNAcentral.
GACGAACGCUGGCGGCGUGCUUAACACAUGCAAGUCGAGCGGUAAGGCCCUUUCGGGGGUACGACGAGCGGCGAACGGGUGAGUAACACGUGGGUGACCUGCCCUCAGUUCUGGGAUAAGCCUGGGAAACCGGGUCUAAUACUGGAUAUGACCUCAUGACGCAUGUUGUGGGGUGGAAAGCCUUGUGCGACUGAGGAUGGGCCCGCGGCCUAUCAGCUUGUUGGUGGGGUGAUGGCCUACCAAGGCGACGACGGGUAGCCGGCCUGAGAGGGCGACCGGCCACACUGGGACUGAGACACGGCCCAGACUCCUACGGGAGGCAGCAGUGGGGAAUCUUGCGCAAUGGGCGAAAGCCUGACGCAGCGACGCCGCGUGAGGGAUGACGGCCUGGUGUAACGUACUUCUA